AUUCCUGUACUUCUGGUUACUGCGAUGGAGGGACGGAGAAGGCUAGGCCAGCUUGGCGUUGGUUGUCCAAGUUUAAGGUGGUAGGCUGAAAUCUUAGGUAAAUCCGGGGUUUCAAGGCCGAGAGCUGAUGACGAGUCGUCUUUUAGAUGACGAAGUGGUUGAUGCCAUGCUUCCAAGAAAAGCUUCUAAGCUUCAGGUAAUCAGGAACCGUACCCCAAACCGACACAGGUGGUCGGGUAGAGAAUACCAAGGCGCUUGAGAGAACUCGGGUGAAGGAACUAGGCAAAAUGGCACCGUAACUUCGGGAGAAGGUGCGCCGGCUAGGGUGAAGGAUUUACUCCGUAAGCUCUGGCUGGUCGAAGAUACCAGGCCGCUGCGACUGUUUAUUAAAAACACAGCAC
Molecule: ribosomal RNA, 401 nt
Filed under: Pseudomonas aeruginosa
Lineage: Bacteria; Pseudomonadati; Pseudomonadota; Gammaproteobacteria; Pseudomonadales; Pseudomonadaceae
Description: bacterial LSU rRNA
Rfam family: Bacterial large subunit ribosomal RNA
Source: RNAcentral